GACAAGCCAUACUGUCUUUCCUCAUCUACUCCACAACCAACGAUGGUAACAAUGUUGACGAGGCAGAGGAAAAGGGGAGGGGACUUUUCAUGUGGGGAGAGACUGGGAACAAGAGGGAUAAACCUCUCCAUGGCCCUUUUGUUGCAACCAUCCUAAAUGAUCUGUUUGGCAUCCAAGCUCGAGGUGGGUGUGCUUGUGCUGGACCUUAUGGCCACAGUUUGCUUGAUAUUGAUCAGACUCGAUCCCUUGCGCUCAGAGAAGCUAUUAAAAGGGCAUCAGCUCAAAAUUUUCAAUUUUUUUUUUGACCAAAUGAAAGAGAAGUAAAAUAUAAUUCAACUUAUCUAAUGCCAGUUGCAAAGUUUGAUUACAGGGCUACAUAGUAGGAAAACCUGGAUGGACAAGAGUCAGCUUUCCUUACUACAUGUCAAAUGAGGAGUUUGAAUACAUUCCUGCGGCAUUGGAGUUCGUAGCCAUCUAUGGCCAACGAUUUCUUCCUCUAUACCAUUUCAACCUGAGAACUGGUAGCUGGACUUUCAAGAAGAAGGCACUUAAGGACUUGGUAGGAAAGGAGAAUAGUCACGGCAUCCAUGUCUUGCCUUUGGCUAGUGCUUUCCAGACAAUAAGCUUGGACCGUGACAAAAUUGAUGCAGGAAAGAAUGAUAGCUCUAUCAUCCUUCAGUAUGCAUCAUAUUUGAAAAGUGCCAAACCAGUCGCUGCUCUCCUUCCCAAGUUUCCAUCUCGAAGGAGGUUUCACGAAGAUUUAGAUCUUAACCUCCUCCCUUUUAGAGUCUAACUAUACUAUCAAAAAUUGAUUCGAGUUCAUAAUCAAAUUUAUCUAUUUUUCCACACUUCAUUGGAAUAUUCUCACAAAGCAAAAGCAAAAAAUUAAACUAGCUCAAGCCUGUCAUGUUAGCAGACUUUCCAAUUACCUGAAAUCUGUUGUAGUGCCUGACAAAUUGGCUGAUACAUAAUCCAAUCUGGUCAAGACUUGUGUAAUAAUGGUGUCAUGCCCCAAAACUAAGACGUAACACGGUUAUAUUGUCUUCAAAUAAAACUUUAAAGUAAUACAAAAUAUUUCUUUUUAAUCAUUUUAAAAUUAUUUAAUAAAAAUAAUUUGCCCAAGUAAAAUUCAUAAAUUUAAUCUAACUAAUGAUACAUCUCUAUAUAUCUAAAGGUGAAUUAAUAAAAAAAUUAUAAAAUCAUUUCAUAAGAUCUCACUAGCUAACAAUAUUUCUAAUGCCCAAGUAAUAUUUUCAAUUUGAUCUUCUAGCUUUUAACAAGACUAAACAUACUUAUCACUUACUCAUGUGUAAAGAAAAGGUAAAAAGAGAAUGAAUAAAUUACAGCUCAGCUAGUAUAGGAUCAUUCACUUUAUCGGAUCAAGCAUCGAUUUCAUACAUAUCAUAUAGAUGUUGGAAAAAAACAACACCCACGUACAGCAACCACACACAAAAUAACAAGCUCAAAUCAAGAAUAAAAAUACACAAAUAUAUUUGGUUCGGCCCAACUCAAAAUGGCCUACUCCAAACCAAAUCCACUAUCAAAUAAAUCUUUACAAUUGUGAGACUUUUAGAAUGAGAAAAGUCUCCUAAAACUCCUUACUCAAAACUUAACCCAAAACCCAAUUACACCCUUUAAUAGCCUACUCACUUAGCUAUUCUCUUGGUGUCUAACUCUUUGGGGUUACUAAACUAAAACCAAAACAUCUUAUUUAUAAGGAUGAAACCCUUUAUACCUUUACUAAACUCCCGAUGUGGGAUACAAAAAGAUUAUUCAAAACAUUUUUCAAAUAAUAAUGUCAAAAUAUUUCAAAAUUCAAAAUCAAAACAGAUCAAUUAAUAAAUCAUUGCAAAAUAUGUUGCCAUUCAAAUAUCGUAAUUAAAUCAAAUCAUGAAUCAAUCUUUAAAAUCAUCAUCAUCAUAAAUCAUCAUUAUCAUUAGUUUAUCAUUAACUAUGGUCACUACUAUAAUCUGUAAUAUUGACCGUAUCGAUAAUUUUAUCUUUAUGAUCAUUACUAACUAUUAUAACCUGUUGGCCAGAGCUUUACGCUAACUACGAUAACCGUUAGCAUGACCAUAUGAUCAUGACUAUUAACUACUAUAAUCUGUUAGCUAGGGUCGUAUAACUAGUUUUGAUACCGAUAAUCCACGUCUCAAAAUGUAAAAUAUGUAGCUAUUAUAAAAUCAUUCAUUAAAAAUAAAUCAAUUUCUCAUUUCAUUUAUAAACAUGAUCCAUCAUUUAUAUAGCAAAACAUAAAAUAAUCAUAAAGCUCACCCCAUUUUCUUAUAUCGAAAAUAAAGAAAUAAAUUUCAUUUAUUUAGAAACAUACAUAUAUACAUAAGUUUCAAAACAAGUAAACUGUGUAAGAUUUUACUUAUUUUCUUUCAAUUUCACCACUUAGUUUUUCCCCCAAAAUAGUUAAUGAGCUAUUAAAAAUCAUUUCAAUAUAACAAAAAUUAAUCAAUCCUUUUUAAGACCAUUAAUACUAAAAACAACCAAGUUAUAUAAGGGUUAACUAACUAAUUUUGGUAGCCUGCACUACUUGCACUAAAAUGACCCUAUCUUAAGAUAUCCAACUCAAAAUUAAGUUUUUUUUAGUACGUUAGAAAUUAAACUCAAUAAAAUUUUUAACCAUAUAUGGCCCACCUCAUAAUUUCUUCUAGAUUAAUUGUAAUAACUUUUGCAAUCCAUGUCAUAUGCUACUAUCAGAUAGUAUGUAUAUUUUCAAAUAAAAAUUAUAUAUUUAUUCAUAAAAGACUCCAUAUUCAUUUGUGCUUGUUUCAUCGAAAAUUAGACUCAAAAACCUUUUCAAACAUAUAUGGCCCGUAAUUUCUUGUAGAUUAAUUGUAAUAAUUUUUGCAAUCCAUGUCAUAUUUUGCAGCCAAAUAGCAUUUAUAUAUUCUAAUCAAAAUUAUAUAUUUAUUCAUAAAAGACUCCAAAUUCAAUUCCACUUAUUUCAUUGGAAUGUGGACUCAAUAACCUUUUCAAACAUGUAUGGCUUUGUUCUUUAAUUCAUUGUAUAAAAAUUAAGAGAAAUUUUGUAAUUUCUCAUCGCUGCUGCUGUCAGAAUGCCUAUAUAUCAUUAAGUAAAAAUUAGACAACUCUUAACAGAAAACUCAGAUUUGACUUACAUUUGUUUCAUUGAAAAGUAGAUUCAGCAAGCUUUCUGUUAGCCUUGAAUUGAUCCUUAUUUUAAAAUGACAAAAAAUUAAAGCUAAAUAAACUUCAUCAAGAUUUUGAAAAAGGAUUUAUUUAGUACAUGUUCUUAAGUUUUAUAUUUUGGUACUAAAUAAAUAAUACAAUUUUCAAAGUUUAAACAAACCUUUCUUGGUGUCAUAUUUCUCAAACCAAAUCUAUCUUUAAAGAUUAUUUAUUUGAGCUUAAAUGAAAGUCCAAUUGUUGUUUGUAAAGUGAAAUUAUUCAUUUUGGACUUAAUACAAUUUGAUAAUAUUGGUUUUGAGAAAUAGAUUAACUUAAGAAAGCUAUUUUACAAUAACAAAGUUUUCCAACAUUGAACUUGUUUUUUUUUUUUUUGUAUUAAUUCACAAAGUCGUAAUAUUUGAAUUUUAUAUGGUUGGAAAGCUCUUUGAGUCUAUUUCUAAUGGAUUAAAUAAAACCAAAAUCCAAAUUUUCUAAGAAAAGAUUUUGAAUUUUUACUAGACACUCUACAGUUGUCAGAAAAACUGCACAAUGAGUAAUUUUGAAAAUUCACUAUAAUUCGUACAUAGCGAAUUAGGUGAUGAACUUUAUAUGGAUAGAAAUAACUUUAAGUCUAGUUUCUAAAUCUUCAAACGGUUUGUGAUUUGGAUUUGUAUAACUCAAGAUAUGAUCAAAUUAGUGAGUAGAGUGCAGAAUAGGAGAUAACCACCCAACCACUGACAGGAUCGAUCCCCUCAUGGACGGGAUCGAUCGGUUCUAGGAGAAAACACUCUAACGGCUACUUUUUGGUGUUUCCAAUGGCUAUUUUCUUCUCCCAAACACUUGCAAUGACUAUUUUCUUCUCCCAAACACUUUCAAUGACUAUUUUCUUCUCUCAAACACUUCUAACGGCUACCUCUUCAAUUUCUCUAUAAAUUGGGCACUCCAACACACCAAGAAGAUUGAUGAAUCAAGAGAGCAAGAGCCAAUAAACUACAUUUUCAUUCUCUCAAAGAAUCAAUAGUUUUUAGAGCUUCAAAGUCCAUAUCUUUGUAUUUAUUGUAUCCAAUUUUUAUUUGUUGUUCAUUCAUCAUUUUCUUGUACUUAAACAUAGCAAACAUUUAGCCUUAGAAAGAUUGUUCUAUUGUUUGCAAAAUUACCUUUGAUAAACAAGGGUGGAAGAGAACAAGAGGUGAGGUAUCUCUUGAGAGCUUUGUAGUGAGAUAGGGUAAAAUACUAAAAAGGGUAGAGGUUUCUAUCUUAAGCCUUAGAAAGAAAAAGAUAAGUUGUAUUUUUAAUUCAAGAAUAGUGGAUUGAAGCCUUGGUGUGAACAACCAAGAAGAGAGGACGUAGGUGCCUUGUGAAGAAGGAUCGAACCUCUAUAAAUCAUUGUAUUCGAUUUCUCUAUCCCUAUCUCCUUACAAUUUAUUGUUGUUUAUAUUUGAUUUUAGAUUCGUUAAUUGUUAUUGUUUGCAUUAUAUUUUCAUCAAAAGUGCUUAUUGUUUUAAUUUCCAUUCAACUAUAUUGAAAUUAUUUGUUUGGGAAGAAUUUGAAGAAAUCCAAUUCAACCCCCCAUCUUGGAUCACCAUCUAACCUAUAAAGCUAACAAUUGGUAUCAUAGCUUUGGUCUCUUUUUGUAGGUUUAACCACCUUGAGAAAAGAUCUUAUGGCUCAAUUUUGGUUCCAAGAUGGUGAGGAAGUCCUUAAAGCUCCUAUGAUUGAUAAAUUUGAAUUUUGUGAAUGGAGAAGGAGGAUGAAGGUGUUCAUUAUGGCCCAAGAUUUUAGAGUUUGGAAUGUGAUUGAAAAAGGACUUGGAACUCCUUCAAAUGAUGUAAAAUACAUGAGGUAAGUGAUGGAUGAUGCUAAGGCCAAGUACUUACUGUAUGGAGCUCUUGACUCCCACAAAUUCAACUUGGUAUCAAAGUGUUCAAACUCAAAUGAGAUAUGGAGAAAGUUGGAUGAGCUACAUGAAAGACAAAUUUCCAACCAACAUCCAACAUGUCUCAUGGCUAUUGAGGAACCAAAGGUAACCUCUAACUCUUGUGAUUCAAACUCUUGUACUUUUGAUGAGUUACAAGAUGCUUACAAUGAUUUAGUAAUUGAGUUUGAAAAUAUGCAUUUGAAACAUAAGAAAAUGAUUCAAAAUUGAAAGUUGAAAAUGAUCUUUUGAUGAAUGCAAAAAAUGUUUUAGAAAAAGAAAAUGAAAAGUUGAAAAUAGAUUUAAAAACCUCUCUAAGUAGAAAUGAAUUUUUAGAAAAAGAAAAUUUUUAUUUGAAAAAGAAAUUUGAUGAUUUGAUGAAUGAAAAACAAAAUCUUUUAAAGAAUUCAUUUAGUACUAAAAUGAUUAAAUGUAAUUUUUGAAAUUUUCAUGGUCAUACUACACAUACUUGUCCUAUUAGAAGAAAAGUCCUAUUUAGAAUUAGGCAAGUAUGGGUUCCAAAAGGAACAAGAGACUUGGUGACUAACUCUCAAGGACCCAAAGCAAUUUGGGUACCAAAAAUAAAAUGAAAUUGUCUCUUGUAGGUGUGCUAUAGCAAGGAGCCACAAUGUGAGAAUGAAGAUUGAAUACUCUAGACACACAAUGGAGAUGGGUAACCUCUAAACUUUUAUUUGAAGAGAAUUUGAAUGUGGUUACCUAUUUUUAAUGAAAUUUAAAUGCUUGAUUGAUUAUGCAAAAUUUGGUUAACAUUGAUUACAAGACAUAUGUUGCAUAAUCUUGAAAAAAUGUGAGCUUGCAUUCAAUAUGCAUUUAUUUUGCUCUUAAGUAUGUUUGAAAUGCUUGUUGAAAUUGUUUGUGGUGUUAAAUUGCUAGAGCAUACUUUUGUUGAUAAAUUUUUUAUUGAUUUGUGAUUGUUAAACAUGCUUAUAUGACCAUGAUGUUUAAAAUUACCUAAUUUGUUUAUAAUGCUUGAAUCUUGUGAUAUAUUAUUUAAACUUGAUUGUUAUAUUCUAAAUUGUUAUAACUCUUGAUUUAUGAAUUUAUGAACAUCUUGUGCUUAAAUUAUAAAUAUUGUUGUUUGAUUGUUCAUAUUUUGAUUUCUUAUGAUAUAAUCUUGAAAUAUGCUUUAAUUCUUUAUCCUUAUUAAUUCAAGAUUUAUUUCUUCUCUUGUGUUGAUGAAUUGAUGAACAUUAUGUGCUUAAGUGAUAUAUAUUGAUUCUUUGUUCAUCUAUGUUUUUGGUCAAGAUAUGUGCUCAUAUGAUAAUUGGUUCAACUUGACCUUAAUGCUUAUGAUUUGAAAAUACUUAAAUUUUUUAUCUCUUGAUUUUUAAAAUAUUUUUUAUAUACUUGCUCGUGUGCUAAAUUGAUUCAUUAAUUUUGUGAAAUAUUUUGGAUCUUGUGCUCAAUUGAUAUAUCUCUUGAUUUGUGAUUUUGAAUAUGAUGAACUACUUGCUUGUAAAUGAUAUAUGUGAUUGGUUCAUUUAUUGUUCUUGUCAAGUGUGUGCAUAUAUGAUAAAUGUGAUUUUUCUUGACUUGACAUGGUUGCAACAUGACUUAAGUAAAUGAAUUUAUUAUGAUGCCUAUUUUUAGCUUAAGUCAUUGUUGAUUAUGGCCUAUAAUUUAUGUAGACAUAUUUAUGCUUCUGUGCUAAAAUUUUCUUGAAUAUCUUUUUGAUGAUAAAUAUGUCUUCCUUGAGUUUUUAGUUUUCAUAUGGCCUAAAAUUUAUUUUGGCAUAUUCUUUGGUGAGUUCUUGAAUAUACAUGAAUAUUGAAUAUGUCUAUUUUGUGUUCAUGAAUGAUCUAAAAGGUUUGAUUUUUGCACAUUACAUGAGAAUUUUUGCUUUAGUGCCAUUCUUGUGCUAUUUGAUGUUUAAAUUGAUAUAUGGCCUCUAGCUUAAGUAUAUAUCUCCUUUGCAAUUGGUAACUUGUGCUUAGUGAAUAAAUUUUCUUUUGCCUAUAAUGACUUAGAAUUUGAAAUUGUUUUCUAACAAUUGGUAUAAUUUUUAUCAAUUGAUUUUCUUGAUGCUUCUAAUGAAAAUCCUUUGUCAAGAAAUUUUUCUAAGUCUAUGCUAGGAAAACUCGAAAUGAGCAUGAAUGAGCCUACAUUUUUGGAAUUUCAAGUAUAACAAGUAAAGCAUGUCAUCCUCAUCAAUCAAGCCUAGUUUUGCUCAAAUAAAGUGGAUUGGAGAAUUUAAAGCCAAAUGAGCACAACAACAAAGCUUGACAUGGAUGGAGGUAAAUGUAUCAACUUUAUGAUAUGAUGUACGAUUUGAGUACAUAUACAUGCUUGCUUUAAUAUGUGCAAAUAUAUGAUUUUGUUGUUGAAUAUAUGAACACAUUGCACAAAUUAAUCACCAAGCCACUUGGUAGAUAUUGUUAUAACAUUUUUGAAAGCUUGGAUUGAUUAAUUCACCUUUAUUGAUAUUCAUGCCUAGUUCUUGAUUGCUUCAAUUAAUAGUUUUUAUUGCAUGAAUAUUUGUUUGAAUCUUUGGACAUGGAUAUGAAUUGAAUAUAUUGAUUUUUUUUUUAUCUCUCAAUUGCCUUGACUCAUGGAAUAUGAACUUACAAAUUUGAAAUUUAUAUGCAUAUUCAUUGAUUGAGAUCAUUGAGAUAGCAUGUACCACAUUAUGUCUAAAUGUUUGUAUCUUUAUUGGUAUAUUGCUAUAUGUGAUUUGAAAUACUUUUGCAUAUGCAUGUAUGGUUUUGAUUGAAAAAUAUGUUUGAAUUGUAUUUAUGUACUUGCAUAUGUUUGGAUUAAGAAUAUUGCUUUGCAUUGAAAUAAUUUAGAUUAUAAUUGAAUAAUUAUGUUUUCAUUAUUUCUUUGCUAUAGCAUAUGUGCUCAUCAUGUUUGGAGAAUCAUGCUUGUAUAAUCUUUGUUAUGACAUGAUGAUAAUUGAACCUCAUUGCUCAUUAGUACUUAUGAUUUAUUAUAUACAUAUGAGCUUUUGGUUCUUGUUUGGAUAGGAUAGCUUAUGAAAGAUUACUAUUAUCAUUUAUGCAUGUAUUGAAUAAAUCUUUCAUAUUCUUAAAGGAUGUUUGUUCUAUGAAAGUUGUUGAAUAAAAUUGCUAACAAUUGGUAUCAAAAUUGCUAAAGAUUUUUUUUUUUUUUGCUUUCAUAGAUGAUUAUUUAUGUGCCUAUCCUUGAUAUAGCUUGUACCUUUCAUGCAAAAUUAUGUGUGCCUUAAAUUAAUUAAUCCUUAUUUUGAAAAUGAGGAGAAAUCUUAUAAUACAAUUUUGCUUGAUUUGUUUUGUAAUAACAAUUGGUAUACUUCUUGAUGACAUAUCUUUAACAAUUGGUAUCCAUAACAAUUGAUAUGAGCUUGUAUGCAUGUGCUUGAAUUUAUGUUUAAUUGCUACUGAUGUUUUAGGUUCUAAGCACAUCUUAUGAUAACAUGAUUUAUGAGUAGAUUGCAUAUCAUUCAUUAUCCUUUGCCCAUAAAUUUCAUGUAGUAAAUUUGAUGACUUGUGCUAAAAUGCCAAAUUUGGAUACACUUAUGCUUUUGUGCUUGAAUACAUGUAUGUGAACUUUAUUGUGCAUAUUACACUGGAUUACAUGCAUUCAAAAUACUCUUGAUAUUAUUAGUAUCAAGCAUUCUGUCCCAUGCCUUGAAUUGAUCUCUCUUUCUUUUGAAAAAGGGGAAAGAAUUUAAAGAUAUUUCUUCUUAUUGCAAUUGAUAUAGAAAUUUAAACAUUUGGUAUAUAGAGCCUAAACAAAAGGGAGGAGAAAUGUUUUAUGAAUAUAUUUGUUAAUGAUGCCUCUUUGUGUUUAUUUGCUCAUUAAUAUGCUCAUGCCUUUUUGCUAUGACAAAAAAGGGGGAGAAAUAUCAUAUAGACAAAUUUGCUUGUGCUUGACAUGCAUAUCUUUGAUUUUGUUUAUUUCAUAUAUUUGACUAGCAUAUGUUUGUUAAGUUGUGUUGGAUUAGGAUGCAUAAAUUGAGGGAGAGUUUUGCCAUUGGAUUAGGAUGCAUAAAUUGAGGGAGAGUUUUGCCAUUGGAUUAGGAUGCAUAAAUUAAUGGGGAGUUUUACCAUGCAUUGCUUAAGGGGAGUUUUCCAAAAUGUCUUUCAAAAUCUUAAAUGUUUCAAAGAAAGUUUUUCAUCAAGUAAAUUUAUCUUUAAGUUUUGUCAUAUAAAAAAGGGGGAGAUUGUUAGCCUUGAAUUGAUCCUUAUUUUGAAAUGACAAAACAUUAAAGCUAAAUAAACUUGAUCAAGAUUUUGAAAAAAGAUUUAUUUAGUACAUGUUCUUAAGUUUUAUAUUUUGGUACUAAAUAAAUAAUACGAUUUUCAAAGUUUAAACAAACCUUUCUUGGUGUCAUAUUUCUCAAACCAAAUCUAUCUUUAAAGAUUAUUUAUUUGAGCUUAAAUGAAAGUCCAAUUGUUGUUUUUAAAGUGAACUUAUUCAUUUUGGACUUAAUACAAUUUUGAUAAUAUUGGUUUUGAGAAAUAGAUUAACUUAAGAAAGCUAUUUUACAAGAACAAAGUUUUUCCAACGUUGAACUUGUUUUAUUUUUUUGUAUUAAUUCACAAAGUCUUAAUAUUUGAAUUUUAUAUGGUUGGAAAGCUCUUUAAGUCUCUUUCUAAUGGAUCAAACAAAACCAAAAUCCAAAUUUUCUAAGAAAAAAUUUUGAAUUUUUACUAGACACUCUGCAGUUGUCAGAAAAACUGCACAAGGUGUAAUUUGUAAAUUCACUAUAAUUUGUACACAGGAAUUAAGUGAUGAACUUUAUAUGGAUAGAAAUAACUUUAAGUCUAGUUUCUAAAUCUUCAAACGGUUUGUGAUUUGGAUUUAUAUAACUCAAGAUAUGAUCAAAUUAGUGAGUAGAGUGCAAAAUAGAGUAACCACCCAGCCACUGACAGAAUCGAUCCCCUAUGGAAGAGAUCGAUCGGUUUUGGGCGAAAACACUCCAACAGCUACUUUUUGGUGCUUCCAAUGGCUAUUUUCUUCUCCCAAACACUUCCAACUGUUACCUCUUCAAUUUCUCUAUAAAUUGGCACUCCAACACACCAAGAAGAUUGUGAAUCAAGAGAGUAAGAGCCAAUAAGCUACAUUUUCAUUCUCUCAAAGAAUCAAGUUUUUAGAGCUUCAAAGUCCAUAUCUUUGUAUUUAUUGUAUCCAAUUUUUAUUUGUUGUUCAUUCAUCAUUUUCUUGUACUUAAACUUAGCAAACACUUAGCCUUAGAAAGGUUUUCUAUUGUUUGCAAAAUUACCUUUGAUAAACAAAGGUGGAAGAGAACAAGAGGUGAGGUAUCUUUGAGAGCUUUGUAGUGAGAUUAGGAAAAAUACUACAAAGGGUAGUGGUUUCUAUCUUAAGCCUGAGAAAGAAAAAGAUAGGUUGUAUUUUUAAUUCAAGAAUAAUGGAUUGAAGCUUGGUGUGGACAACCAAGAAGAGAGGACGUAGGUGCCUUGUGAAGAAGGACCGAACCUCUAUAAAUCAUUGUGUUUGAUUUCUCUAUCCCUAUUCCUUACAAUUUAUUGUUGUUUAUAUUUGAUUUUAGAUUCAUUAAUUGUUAUUGUUGCAUUAUAUUUUCAUCAAAGGUGCUUAUUAUUUUAAUUUCCAUUCAACUAUAUUGAAUCAUUUGUUUGGGAAGAAUUUGGAGAAAUUCAAUUCACCCUCCCUCUUGGAUCACCAUCUAACCUAUAAAGCUAACACUUUCCAACAAUAUAUAAUACUUAAAGUAAUAAUUUAUCCAUUAACACAAAUUCCAUUUUAAUUCACACUUGCAAAUUAUAGCAUCUCAUCCAAAAAUAAAAUUUCUCGUUCAAUUUUUAAGAUGAAAAAAUAUGAAAGAGGCAUAAUAUAUAGCCAAUUGAAAGAUCAAUGUCUCAGUAUAACUUACACGAUUUUAGUAAACUACUUCUAGUAUUAUAUGCUAAGAUCAAGGUAUAAAAUAAUUUUAGCAUUGAAUAUUUAGAUUUCUUCACCCUAUAUACUCAAUAGGCAUUCUAGACUUCUAGAACCUAAUAUAAGUCCUAAAGUCAACCAAAUUAAAAAUUUGGGUAAGGCUCAUUAACACAAAUAAAAAACGGUAUUCCCGAGUGUACACAAACAAAAGCAACCAACUUAUCUAUUGCAACUUAUGGUUACUCCUAAUUUCGAUACUACUUUAUUGUUUCUUUCCAUCAUUUGGUUCACAAUAAACAAAAUGAUAUCCAAGUUCUUUGAAAAUCCCUAGAGCUGAUGGUUGUUACUCAAGUUCAUUUGGUUUUAGGACAAUGCACUUGUUCUUCAAUCUUAUUUACUGAUGUUUGAAGAAAUGAACAAUAAUUACUAUAAAACAACAUAAAAUCAUUGUGUUACACCACCAUUCUGUAAUAUAAUCCACCAAUCUAGGUCACCAAUAAAAAGAACUAAGGAAUUCAAUUCACAUAGUAACUUAUGGGUGAAUUCAAACAUACCGCUCUAUCUUAAUCCUUUAUUAGCAUGUAUGAUGUCAUAUAUAUGCAAUCAUGCCAAAUAGCCUUUUAAAAGGUUGUCACGGAAACCUCUCACAAUAAGUGAAUCACAAAAGCUUAGUACUUGAUUCCAAAAUCAAUUAUUAAAUAACAAAUAAUAUCAAUAUAAUAAUCUUAUGCCAUGUUUGGUGCAUAAGAAUACGACUUGAUAGGGUACAAUGAUAUUAUAAAUAGAAUUAGAUUAAAUAAUGUCAUCUUAUUUUGUGUUUGCCAUAUGUAAAAACUAGGACAGGAUAAUUUAUUUAUUUGUCAAAAUUAUCCUUAUUCAAAGUUUAUACAAUUUAAAUUAUUAAUGUAAUUUUUAAGGGUAUAAUUGAACUUGUAAGUUUAAUCUUAUAAAUUAAAAAUUAUCCUCUCUACUUUGAGAUGAUUGAAUAAUCCUAUACCAAGAAGAUAUUAAUCCUUAUUGCAAACCUUAUCUUUGUCUUUAGAUAGAAAUCAAAUUUGAUAUAGGAUGAUUAUCAUCAUAUUCUAUCAACAAUCAUAUGUACAAAUAUGACCUUAGUUACUAUUUUUAGUGGAACCACUCAACGACAGAGAAUCAUUUGUUCUAUUAAAACCGCUUCAAUCUAAAUUUUUGGUUUUAGAAACAAAUCUUUCACCACCAUUGCUCUUUAUAUAGUCUUCAAUCUUUGCUUUAUAAAUGUUUCCCAUUGAUAUCCUUAUUAGGAAUACUAGAGUGAGAAUUGUCAUAAAGUGGGCUAACUAUUAAUAGUUGGUUUUAAUAAUUUAUAAAAUUGGUUGAUGAGUUUACUCUUAAUACGAGAUAAGCAAGAGAGUUAAAUAAUUAAUGUGAUCACUUAAUGUAAGAUUUACCCCAUCUUACUAAGUCAAUCUGGUUUGGAGGUUUUUAUAGACCUUAGUCCUAGCAGUGUUUGAGUGAGGAGGUUUAAGGGUUUUCCAUAAAAUAGGUUCAGAUAACUGUUUUUUUUUUUUUUUUACUUUUAUACGAGUUACAGUUAUUGCUCAUUGAGUGUCACCAAUAAGAGAAGAGUGAAGAGGAAGACCUAGCCACCUUAAGGAUUGUUUCGUUUUGGUAUAUUCAUCAUGACCACCCAAAUAAGUAUGACAAAUCUCUUUAUUUGUUUAUGAUGUUCUAAUUAUCAAACAAUGAUCUUGGGUUAAUGUUUAUGUGUGGUAUCAGAGCUAUCAUUAUGUGAUAUUAAGACCCUAAAAUCGUGAUUUGUAAUUGAUUUUUGAACAAACAACAUAUUUAGGGUGAAAUUAUGUUGUUGUCAGAAUUUUAAAUUUUGAUCUUUAUUUUUUGACAUUGAUUUAGGAUUUUAGUUCCUCUCUAAAAAAGGAUUAAAAUUAUACAAAGAUCAUUUUCUAAUUCCUUAUAUCGAUAGAGAAAUCAAGGUUGAAAAUUUUUAGGUUUAAGUUUUAAUCUAAAUUCUUAUUUUGAUUAAAACAUCAAAUAUUUUAUAUGUUUAAUUCCAAAUUAAUUCUUCAAUCAUGUUUCUCAUGUGUUAUAAAGUUAAAUCAAAGCAUUUAAUUUCAUUUUGUUUUAGAUUGGCCAAACACAAAGAAAACAAAAAGAGGUCUAAUAUGUGUUUAUGUAAUUCAAAAAACUUUGACCAAUUGAUCUUAUUUUUGUCAUUUUUUGAUAUUUUUUCUUCAUGGGUUUGAUAAAAAAAUAAUUUUAUUUUUAGGCCCUUCAAUUUGAUUAAAAUACUAAGAAAAUGUAUAAAAAUGGUGGAAAAAUACGAACAAACCAAAAUAGGUAAAGAAAUAUUCUAGUCUCAUUAAGUCAACCUAACUAGAGGUUAAAGAAAACCAUUCCCCAUGUUAAACAAAAUUCUUGCAUAGUGGGCGACACGUGUGGCAUGUAUGGGCUUGUCUGGCAUCCAUUUUUGCUCUAGUUUCUUUUAGCAUACUUGGAAUUUUAUUUCUAAUUUUUUUUGAAAUUUUAAACUACAUGAAAUAUUUGUUUGACACUCAUGCAUUGCUCAGUAAUUACUAUAUGUUAUAUACAUUGUUUUAUUAUUUUAUUUUGUGAUAAAAUAUUUUGGUGUGUUGGGGGUUUAAUGAUAGUAGGUAUUCUUCCUAAAUAGGCCUUGAUAUUUAUGUACUCUCAAGUUGAAUCUUAAGUGCAUAAUUGAUUUAGUAAUUAAAAAUUGAUCAAGACUCUAGUUUAAAUUUAAUGUACACUACUUAUAAGACCUAAUUAGAUACAUUUAGGUUUAGUAUCUUAGUUAGAUAGUCCAUUGCAUACAUUAUGCUUGAGUAUGUAAACUGAGAGUUUUUGGGCAAUUAAUGAAAAUUUUCAAUUUGAAAAAAUCAUCAUUAAUUGAUAUCAGUGUUUGGUUGUCAAAGUGGCUCACUUAUUGAAAUUAAUGUAAUAUUUUGUCAUUCUAUGGUUACAGGAUGGUUAUUAAAUUAUCUUAUGCAAUUGACUUCCUAAAGGGGGUUAAUGUAUAGGUAAUUUGUUUUGGAAUAUAAAUCAUUAUGGUUGAAAUUGUACCAAUCUUGAAAAUCUAUCUGCCCAAAGGGGAUAUGUUUUUAAAAGCUAGGACAUUUUCAUAUUAGCUUUAUGUGGAAAGUUCCUACUCGCAUAUUACAUUCUUUAUCCGAAAAGGAGUUUGUGGUGAUGCACCAAGAACUUUCAAUGAUUGUUAGUACAUCAUGAACUGUUGCUAUAUAUUUUAUGAUAUUGCCUAUUUACUAAUGUUGCAUUUUUGUCUUGAAUGUUGACUUUUAUUGUCAAUAACAAUAAGCCACUAUUAAAGUUCUUCACGGGUCUAAUUAUAAAAAAUGAAAUGAAGAUUUAAAUUUUGCUUUGGUUAUGAAUAAGAUAGACAUAGCCUUACAUUUUUCCAAGCCUGCUAAUUUUACUGAUGAAAGCAUUGCUGAACAAAAGGAAUUUUUUCCCAAAUGGGAAAAGGUAAAUUGUAUACGUCUAUAUGUCAUUAAUAGGUCUAUUUUUGAAUACCUUUUGAGUGAGUUGGAUACCACAAAAUUGCUAGGGAUCUCUACCAUGCUGUAGGCAAUAAAUACCAAAAAUCCAAUAAGUGUAAAGCUAAGAACCUUAUGAAUGAGCUUACAAGUAUAAGGUAUGAUAGUGUUAGAAGUGUUAGAGAUUUCAUCAUAAGAACGAUCCAAAUUCAAACCAAAUUGACUUCUCAUGAAAUUGUCAUUCUUGAUAAAUUCAUUAUUCAUCAUGCCCUUAAUGCCUUACUUAUGGAGUUCACUCAGAUCAAAAUUGUCUAUAAUGCUAUGAAUGAGGUUUGAAGUGUUAAUGAUCUUAUUUAAAAGUUUGUCUUUGAGAAGAAAAACUAUAGAAAGAAAAGGGCGAGAGUGCUUUUUUUACUACAUACUCCAAACAUAAUUACAAAAGAAAUUAUGCGAAAUCUGGGAAAUUUGUUCCUAAUGCUCAAAAGAAAGUUCAAGAAACCAAGGGACAAGGUAGUCGUCAGAUUAAAAAGAUAAAAGGUCUUAAAGCUGUCAUUAAGAAAGAUAUCAAGUGUUUUUCCUGUAAAAAGAAUGUCAUAUGAAACAUAAGUACCCUAAAUAUCAAGCUUGGUUAAAAAAAAAAAUAAACAAGAAGGUAACUCACUAGCUCUCGUUUGUUUUAAAUCUUAAUUUGUUAGUGGUCACCAAAUUCCUAAUAGGUUGAUAGUGGUGCAACUGUUCAUUUUGCUAUUACCUUUGCUAGGAUUCAAAAACAAAUGAAAGCUAAGUGAGAAAGAGGCUAAACAUAGAGUUUGAAACAAUGUUGAAGUAGCCGUUAAUUAUGCAGGAAUAAUAGGCUUAAAUUUAGAAUCUGGCUUUGAACUUAUUUUGGAAAAUGUUUAUCAUACACCUUCAUUUAGGAGGAAUUUGAUUUUAGUUUUUAUUUUGGACAAACAUGGUUAUUAUUUUGGCAUUGGAUAUGGAAAAAUUGACUUGUUUUAAAAUUUAAAUGUUGUUGGUGAAUUUAAACUAAUUGACAAUUUAUAUAAACUGUGCUUAGCCUACAAUAAUUAAUAUAGUUGCAAUAAUGUUGAAAAGAUAGUGACUAAAAAAUCUUUAAGUAAAGAAAAUUCGUUGUUGAUGAAUUUAAACUAAUUGACAAUUUAUAUAAAUCGUGCUUGGCCUAUGAUAAUUAAUAUAGUUGCAAUAAUGUGGAAAAGAUAGUGUCUUAAAAAUCUUUAACUAAAGAAAAGUUUUUUUGUUGUGGUGUAAAAGGUUGGGUCCACAUUUCUAUUGAAGAAGUGCAAAAUUUGAUAAAAGAUAGUACUUUACCUUCCCUUGGUUUUGAAAAGUUAGACACUUAUGUUGAUUGUAUAAAAUGUAUACUAACUAAGACUAAGAAAAAUGAGGCAAUUUGCAAUUUUGACCUUUUCAAAAUUGUGUAAACUAAUAAUAAUGGACCUCUUACAUCUAUCUUAUGUGCUAACAAAUAUCUCUUAAUACGAGAUAAGCAUGGGAGUUUAAAUAAUUUAAUGUGAUCACUUAAAUGUAAGAUUUGCACAUCUUACUGGGUCAAUCUGGUUUGGAGGUUUUGUAGACCUUUAGUCUAGUAAGUGUUUGAUGAGGAGGCUUCAAGGGUUUUCAAUUAAAAUAGGUUCAGAUAACUUUUUUUUUUUUACUUUUAUAUGAGUCACGGUUAUUGCUCAUUGAGUGUCGUAAAUAAAAGAGAAGUGAAGAGGAAGAUCUAGGCACUUUAAGGAUUGUUUCACUUCGAUAUAUUCAUCGUGACCACCCAAAUAAGUAUGAAAAAUCUUUUUAUUUGUUUACGAUGUUCUAAUUAUCAAACAAUGAUCUUGGGUUAAUUUUUAUGUGUGGUAUCAGAGCUAUCUUUAUGUGAUAUUAGGACCCUAAAAUCAUGAUUUGUAAUUGAUUUUUGAACAAACAACAUAUUUUGGGUGAAAUUAUGUUGCUGUCAAAAUUUUAAAUUUUAAAUUUUGAUCUUUAUUUUUUGAAACUGAUUUAGGAUUUUAGUUCCUCUCUAAAAAAGGAUUAAAAUUAUAUAAAGAUCAUUUUCUAAUUCCUUAUAUCGAGAUAGAAAUUAAGGUUGAAAAUUUUUAGGUUUAAGUUUUAGUCUAAAUUCUUAUUUUGAUUAAAACAUUAAACAUUUUAUGUCUUUAAUUUGAAAUUGGUUCUUGAAUCAUGUUUCUCAUGUGUUAUAAAGUUAAAUCAAAGCAUUUAAUUUUAUAUUGUUUUAGAUUGACCAAACACAAAGAAAACAGAAAGAGGUCUAAUAUAUGUUUAUGUAAUUUGAAAAAUUUUAACUAAUUAAUCUUAUUUUUGUCAUUUUUUUAUACUUUUUUUUUCAUGGGUUUGAUAGAAAAAUAGUUUUAUUUUUGGGCACUUCAAUUUGAUGAAAAUACCAAAAAAAUGCAUAAAAAAUGAUGGACAAAUACGAACAGACCAAAAUAAGUAAAGAAUUGUUCCAGUCGCAGUAAGUCAACCCAACUGGAGGUUAAAGAAAACUAUUCCCCAUGUUGAACAAAAUCCAUUAAUAGUGGAUGGCACUUGUGACACGUGUGGGCUCGUUUGGCAUCCAUUUUUGCUCUAGUUUCUUUUGGCAUACUUGGAAUUUUAUUUCUAAUUUUUUUUGAAAAUUUUAAACUACAUGAAAUAUUUUUUUGACAUUCAUUCAUUGCUUAGUAAUUACUAUAUGUUAUACACAUGAUUUUACUAUUUUAUUUUGUGAUAAAAUAUUUUGGUAUGUUAGGAGUCUAAUGAUAAUGUGUAUUCUUCCUAAAUAGGCCUUGAUAUUUAUGUACUCUCAAGUUGAAUCUUAAGUGCAUACUUGAUUUAGUAACUAAAAAUUUAUUUUAAAAAAAAUUCAAUACUCUAGUUUAAAUUUAAUAUACACUGCUUAUAAGACCAAAUUAGACACAUUUAGGUUUAGUAUCUUAGUUGGGAUAGUCCAUUGCAUACAUUAUGAUUGAGUAUGUAAAUUGAGAGUUUUGGGCAAUUAAUGAAAUUUUUCAAUUUGAAAAAAUCUUCAUUAAUUGAUAUCUAUGUUUUGUUGUCAAAGUGGCUCACUUAUUGAAAUUAAUGUAAUAUUUUAUCAUUGUAUGGUUACGGGAUGGUUAUUAAAUUAUCUUACGCAAUUGACUGCCUAAAGGGGGUUAAUGUACAGGGUAAUUUGUUUUGAAAGAUAAAACAUCAUGAUUAAAGUUGUACCAAACUAGAAAAUCUAUCUACCUGAAAGGGAUAUGUUUUUUGAAAGCUAGGACAUUUUCAUAUUAGCUUUAUGCAGAAAGUUCCUACUCGCAUAUUACAUUCUUUAUCCAAAAAGGAGUUGUUGUGAUGCACCAAGACCUUUCAAUAAUUGUUAGUACAUCAUGAACUGUUGUUAUAUAUUUUAUGAUAUUGCCUAUUUACUAAUGUUGCAUUUUUGUCUUGAAUGUUAACUUUUAUUGUCAAUAAUAAUAAGCCACUAUUAAAGUUCUUCAUGGGUUUAAUUAUAGAAAAUGGAAUGAAGAUUUGAAUUUUGCUUUGGUUAUUAAUGAGAUAGACAUAGCCUUACGUUUUUCAAAGCCUGCUAAUUUUACUUAUUAAAGCAUUGCUGAACAAAAAGAAUUUUUUCCUAAAUGGGAAAAGGUAAUCUUAUGUGUCGAUAUGGCAAAAGAAUGAACAAGAAGGUAACUCACUAGCUCUUGUUUGUUUUAAAUUCUAUUUUGUUAGUGGCCCACCAAAUUCCUUAAUAUAUAUUAGGCUAUUUAUCAAGAAAUAUAUAUUUAAAAAAUUAUUUAGUUAUCGAAAACUUUCAAAUUUUAGAUGUAAGUAUUAUGGGAUAUGUAAAUGCCUAUAUAUAUAUAUAUAUCGUUUUUUGACACAUAAGAAUUUACCACAAAAAAUUAACUUAUAUGGAUAUCUACAUGGAUAAUUUUUAAAUUGUUAACAAUAAAAUCUAAUUUAGAUAUAUUUUUAUUAAAAAUAAAUUUCCUAAUAAUAUAAACAUAUUUUUUAAAUUUAAAAAUCUCAAUUGUAAUAAUAUAUUAUCUCUAAAAUGGGUUUAUAAAAUAAUUCUAUUUGAUAAAUUAUUUAAAUUCAAAAUGAAAACCUAUCAAAUAUGAAAAAUUUUGUAAAAAUCUUGAAUUAAAAAAUGUCAAUUCAAGAAUUUUUGUUUUUCUUAAUUUAAUCAUUUUUCAUGAAUAUAUAUGGACCAUAAAUUUUGAAUACAUAUUUCAAUUAAAAUUGAUUAGAUUUGUUUUUUACUAUUUCAAAUUUGAAAGAUAUGUUGUAUUUUUUAAUUCUCUUACCAUUAGAUUAUUUUAAAAAUUUAAUCCCAGCCACAGUCACUAAUCAUUUUAUCAUUACCAUUGCCAAGUUUGCGUCUAAAAUAGCAACGAAAGGCAUCGAUGAAAAUUUUUUAUUGUUUCAUUCCAAUCACAAUCACCAUCAUUUUAUUGUUUGAGAAGAAUCAUAAUUUGUAACUAAAUCACUUAUAAGUUGUGACAUAAUCAAUUGAUUUAUGUUUAGUUAAAUGAUUUACAGCUAGAGCUAGAGAUCCAACCAUUUAAGGAAAAAGCUAAGGACAAAGAACUUCUCUUUUAUAUACAUUUAUCUUUAUAUUAAUGUCACUUUUUUUCAAAUGGGCUAUUUUUAUAUUUAACCAUUUUCGAAAGACUAACAUUACCUUAAAGCGUAUGUAUUACUUACCUUAUAUAGUUAAAAUUAUAUCAAUUAGUAAUCAAAUUUUUAUGAUUUAUCUUAAAUCAUUCUUAAUUAAAUUAAAUUAUUUAUUUUUAAUAUGCCACUUCAUCAUAAAUACAAAUGAAUAGCCUUUAGUGUGGUAGAGUAUUGGUUUGAAGAUCUAUUUCACUACUUUUAUUUUGUUUUGGUUCUUUUUUUUUUUAUUUGAUCCAUUUGUUUGUUUCUUCAUCUUUUAUUUAUUUUUUAUAACUGUCAUAACAUAUAGAUCCGUGAACCUACUGCUAGACUCAAAAUGGAAAGGAGUUGCCACUAAUCUUUUUUGGUUAGGUGUGAUUGGCCACCUGAUUAAAGUUUAUCUAUAAAACAGAGGUUAGGUUCGAAAAUUGAUUGCGCAUGGGAAAGGUUAUAGCACCCAUAAAAUGCCCAUCAAAGGAAUGGCACCAGUUUGAUUUCGAAUUAUCCAAGCCUUGCUUAUGAUUUUCUAUUUACCAAAUAGUAAAUUUUAUAUUCCCCCACCCUUUUUUUAGAAUUUUUUUUAGAAAAGACAGAAUAAUUUUUUUCCUUCUUUUCUUUUUUUUUUUCUUUUUUUGAAAAAUAUAGAAUAAUUUUUUCCUUUUUUUUAAAUAAAAAAAUUCAAAAAAUAAAAUAUGGGUAAAAUAAAUAAAUUAGAAAAAAAUCAAAAACUAAAAAGAAAAUGUAAAAAGGAAAACUUACGGUCAGAUCGGGUUGGGACGCGGUUUAGUGCGCAGAUCUUUAGGUCGAAGCGCGAAUCCUGGCUUGACGAAACGGUGUCAUUAUGGAGCAGUAUAAAAAGCACAUUUUAGCAUUUUUUCUUAGAACCCUAGAGCCUUUCUCUCUUUACCCAAAAAAUCUCUGACCUCUCUCUAAAAUAUCCACUGGAAAGUUCAACCGAAAACUAGAAAUCCCAUUGGUUUUUGAAAACUUCGCCAAAAAAUUUAACUGAAAACUAGAGAAUCUAUCAAUUUUUAAAAAGCCACCGGUUCUAAAAACUUUGUCGAAAUCUCGUCGAAAAAUUCAACCUUCGUCGAAAAAUUUAACUGAAAAGUUCAAUGUUCUUCAAAAAUCCAAAAAAACACAAAAAAAUUUGAAAAAAAAAUAAAAAAUUCAAAAAAAUUCUCAGAUGAUUCUAAGCCCUUCCUGAACCUCUUACAACCUCAAAUCCUUUUUUAGAAUCCCAAAAUCAUGCCCAAAACUACAAAUCGAACUUAAAUCCCUAUCCUCGAAUCCCAGGAACCCUUACUGUCAAAAGUUUACCAGAGCUUCCCUAACAAUUUCCCUUGUGCUUUUUCUUGUAUCUGUGCGUCCCUUUGUGUCAUAAUUAGUCUAAUUUAUAAGCAGCCUAGGAUCAAUUCAAGAAAUAAAUAAAAUCAAUCCCAGGCUUGAUUCUUGGGAUUGCAUUAUGUUCAUAUCAGAUUUUAGGUCUAAAAUUUUAGCACCCUCCUGCUUAUACGAUUUGGGCAAUAAAAGUUUGACUAUCAUGGUUUUCGACUCUGAUUUUAUCAUAUGGGAAUCAGAACAAAAAUGAAAAGAAGAAGAGAAAAGAAAAAGAAAAAAAAUGAAAAUGAAAAUAUAUAAUAAUAAUAAUAAUAAUAAAUAUAAUAUGGUAUAAUAUAAUAUAACAGAAAAAAAAAUCAAAGAAGAAAAUAUUGAUAAUAAAUAGUACUAAUAAUAUAAUAAGAAAAAAUCUAAUUGGACCUUAACGGGCUUGAAUGGGCCUAAACGAGAAUGGGCCUAGUUGGGCUCGACUCCCAGCAAGGCUCAGACCGAGAUGUAUCCCACUGAGCUUGGAUGAGAAUGGGCCCAAAUCAGAAAGGGUUUUUAACUGGGCUUAAGCUAGAAUGGGCCCGAUUGGGCUCGAAUUGAAAUGGGUGUCCAUAGUUGCCCCUAUUUGCACAUCUUUGUUAGACGAGGAUGUUGCAAAGACCUAGACACCCACUAUGGACUUGAAUUCAAAAAAUUACCUAGACUGAACCAAGGUCGAGAAUAAAUGAUCGGAAUGAAACCACGAAUCAUGUAACCAAGAUUAAACCACGAGUUGAAAUAAAGCGAUCGGGAUCGAAUCGAGGUCGAAAAUGAAUGAUUGGGAAGAAACCAUGAAUCAUGUGAUCGGGACGAAAUCACAAGUCAAAAUAAAGUGACUAAGGCCAAGUCGAGGUCGAAAAUAAAUGAUCAGGAUAAACCAUAAAUCAUGUGAUCAGGACAAAACCAAGAGUCAAAACAAAGCCACCAGGAUUGAGUCGAGGUAAAAAAUGAAUGACCAAGAUGAAACCACAAAUCCUAUGAUCGAGAUGAAAACACGAGUUAAAAUAAAGUGACCAGGACCGAGUCGAGGUCAAAAAUAAAUGAUCGGGAUGAAACCAUGAAUCAUGUGACCAAGAUGAAAUCAUGAGUCGAAAUAAAGUGACCAAGACUGAGUCAAGGUUAAGAAUAAAUGAUUGAGAUAAAACCACGAAUCAUAAGAAAUGAUCUGUACUGAGCCAAGAUUAAGGGAGUGGAUAAUGCAAAUGUAUGCCUUAUCUAGGAUGCAAAUGAAUCAUUGAUUGUGAUACUAAGGCUUUUGUAUUCUCGUUUUAGAAGAGAAACCUUCAGCUAUUAUCCUACAUGUUCACUUUCACUGUACACUUUAACGAAGAAAUUCCCUUUCACAUUUGACAUGAAAAGCUAUUUUUCAUCAAUUUGGAGGUGCAUCUUUGACAAAGAAACCAUCUUUUAUCAACCUGAAAGUAUGUAAAGAAGCCAUCAACCUAGAUGCAUUUUGGUAGAAAAACUUUUGCGUCCACAUGUCUGCUCAUCCAAAGAGAGCCAUGUAAGUCUUUUUUUUUUUGGGUCAGCCUUUGCCUUUAUCUUUUUCAACCCUUCAAAAUAAUACACUUCUUAUGAUUUUGUUCAAUUAUUAAUCAUUAUCCCAAUUCUAAAGUAUGAAGAUGCAAAUUAUGCAUUUCUUUCAUUCAUGGUAAAGGAGAAGAAUAAUGUACAGGAUUUAGAGAAUGAUAAGAUGGCUUUUAUUUCUAUGGAUAAUCAAUUACAAAUACCGGUGUGAAGGAAGAAUAAUGUACAGGAGCAGCCAUUUAGGGGUAAUAGUGCCCCCAAAACAAAUGAUUAGAUAAUCAUGACAACAAAUCUCUGAUCUCCUUCAAAAACUCAAUUAAAACUUGAUGCCCGAACAUUUCAAAGCUCUUCAAAAUUUACUGCCUAUGAUAUGCCUUCCCUAGUAGUGCCAAUUGAAGCCACCUUCGAAUCUUUUCCUUUGGGUCCAAACUAACCUUCCACGUUUUCAAUUUAACCUUUUUCUCUACUUUUUUUUAUGGUUCAAACUGCUCUUUUCGGGUUUUCAAUUUGACCUUUUUCUCUUUUUUUUUUUGGAAAAUCAAGCAAAAUACUUCUUUACUACGUCAGAGUUGACAGGACCAGGAAGUUUAUCUCUAUCCAUUUUUGACAAAAUCAAGGCUCCCUAAAAAAAAGCUCUUUUUACCACAUAAGGCCCCUCCCAAUUUGGAGUCCAUUUUUCUCUAUCAUCAUGAUGACUUGGAAGACUCCUUUUCAACACCAAUUCUUCCUCUUGAAAUUAUCGAGGUUUGACCUUUUUGUCAUAAGCUCUCAUCAUUCUCCUUUGAUAUAACUAGCCAUGACAUAGGGCUGUCAACUUUCUUUCCUCGAUAAAGUUCAAUUGCUCAUAAUGUUUUCAAAUCCAUUCAACUUCUUCUAAUACCACUUCUCUUAAGACCCUUAAAGAUGGGAUUUUUACUUCCACUGGUAGCACAGCUUCCAUUCCAUAAACCAAGAAAAAGAGAGUAGCCCCAGUAAAGGUACAUAUAGAAGUUUGAUACACAUGUAGAGCAAACGGUAAUUUCUCAUGUCAAUCUUUGUACAUUUUAGUCAUCUUUUCCAGAAUUCUUUUGAUAUUCUUAUUCGCCACUUCUACUGCCUCAUUCAUUUUUGAGCGAUAUCGGGCUGAAUUAUGGUGUUUGAUUUUGAACUGAGCACAUAUUUCUUACAUUAUCUUGCUAUUCAAAUUCUUGACAUUAUUUGAUAUAAUUCUUUCUAAAAGCCCAUAUCUGUAAAUUAUUUCUCUUUUGAUGAAUGUGUAGACCACUGAUCUAGUCACUGUCGUGAAUGAGGUAGCUUUAACCCAUUUAGUGAAGUAGUCAUUCAUCACAAAAAUGAAUCUAUUCCCAUUUGAAGCCUUUGGUAUGAUAGAGUCAAUGACAUCCAUCCUCCACAUAGAAAAUGGCCAAGGUGGUGCUAUAACAUGUAAAGCAUUGGGCGGAGCAUGAAUCUUAUCAGCAUCUAGCAUUUAUGGCACCUUCGUGCAUAAUUGAUGCAAUCUUUUUCCAUCAUCAAUCAAUAAUAUCUAGCUCACAUGACCUAUCUCGCCAUCAUAUGCCCAUUUUCAUGUGCCCCACAUACACCAUUAUGCACAUUUUUAACAAUUCUACUAGCUUCAGAUAUAUUUACACAACGAAGUAACACUUAGUCCUUGCCUCUUUUGUACAAAGUUUCCUUAUAAAAAAAAAAUCCUAUGGCCAAUCUUCUUAAGAUUUUUUUUAUCAUUUUCUGUUGCUUAAUUUGGGUAUUAUUGAUUUUUUAAAUAUUGCAUGAUAUCCUAAUACCAAAGGUGACCAUCUUUCUCUUCUCCCAAGUUGGCAUAAUGUACUAGCAUAUCUUUGAUAUCCAAUUUGAUUGGCUAGAUUUUAGCGGUAUCAUUAUCUGUACCAUGACGGCCAAGGUAGCCAAGGCUUCGCAAUCUGAUUUUCUUCCUAAGGUUAGUGCUCAAAAUGAAUUAUUUUAAAUUGUUUGCAUAGCUCUAAAAUUUAUUUAUGAUAAGGGAUGAGUUUUGAAUCCAUUGUCUCCCACUCAUCUUUGAACUAAUAAAUGACUAGAACUGAGUCUCCAAACACCUUUAAUAUUUCAAUCUUCCUACCUAAAGCCGUAUGUAGCCCCAUGACACAAGCUUCAUAUUCAGUGACAUUAUUGGUGCAGUUGAAAUUUAAUAUUGUUGUAAUAGGAUAGUAGUGCUCCAUUAGAGAUAUCAAAACUGCUCUGAUUCCAUACCCCAUGGCAUUAGCGGCCCUAUCAAAAUAUAUCUGUCAUGCUUUUUCAUCAUCAUCAUCUUCUUCUGAUUCUAGAAUGACCAUCAAUUCCUCAUUUGGGAAAUCAAACUUCAUGGGUUCAUACAAUAGCCCUGUCUACUAAGAAUUCAGCAAUGAUACUUCUUUUGAUUGCUUUUUGACUUAAAUAUAUUACGUCAUAUUCAAAAAACAACACUUGCUAUCUUGCAAUUUUUUUGAUAGUGAAGGUUUCUCAAAGACAUAUUUGAUGGGAUCUAAUUUAGCUAUGAGCAAAGUGGUAUGGUACAGCAUAUACUGCUUGAGCCUUUUAGCCAUCCAAGCUAAAGCAUAACACAUUUUCUCUAAUGAUGAAUACUUAGACUCAUACUCUGUGAAUUUCUUGCUAAAUAAUAAAUAGCUUUCUCUUUCUUACUAGAUUCAUCUUAUUGGCCCAGCACACAUCCCAUCAAACCCUCAUAUACCAUUAGGUAUAGAAUUAGUGGUUUUCUUGGGAUAAAAGGUGCUAAUAUUGGAGGGUUUAGUAAGUACCACUUGAUUUUAUCAAAAGCUUCUUGACGUUGUUCAUUCCACUCCCGAGAUUAUUCUUUCAAAGGAGUUUAAAAAUGGGGUCACAUUUGAAAAAUGAACCAGGAGAUAUAAUUUAAUCUACCCAAGAAGCUGCGAACCUCCUUUUGUGUAUUUGGUGAAGAUAGAUUUUAAAUGGCCCAGAUUUUAUCUAGAUCUACUUCUAUCCCUCUUUCACUGACUAUAAAUCCUAGCAUCCUUCCUGUUCUGGCUCUGAAUGUACACUUAGCUGGAUUCAAUUUAAGCUGGAACCUCAGUAACCUUUUCAAAUAACUUUUUGAGGCUGAUUACAUGAUCCUCUUAUUUUGAAACUUGGUGAUCAUGUCGUCCACAUACACCUCAAUCUCCUUAUGCAUCAUAUUGUGGAAGAGUGUCACCAUAGCUCUUUGAUAAGUUGCCCUAGCAUUCUUUAGCCCAAAAGGCAUAGCUUUGUAGCAAAAAAUCCCUCACAUAGUGAUAAGAGUAGUUUUUUCCAUGUCAUUUGGAGCCAUUUUUAUUUGAUUGUACCUAGAGAAUCUAUCCAUGAAAGAGAAUACUAAAUGUUAGGCCAUAUUAUCCACCAUAGUAUCGAUGUGCGGUAAAGGAAAAUUAUCCUUAGGGCUAGCUUUGUUCAAAUCUCUAUAGUUUACACACAUUCGUACCUUACCAUCCUUUUUAGGAACAAGUACGAUAUUAGCCACCCAUUUGGGAUACUUGUCCACUUGCAAAAAGCCUGCAUGGAAUUACUUUUUAACUUCCUCUUUGAUUUUCAAUAACAUCUCUGAUUUUAUUUUUCUUAGCUUUUGCUGUAUUGGUUUGUAUUCUGGUUUCAAUGGUAACUUAUGCUCCACUAUUUUAGUGCUGAGUCUAGGUAUAUCUUGGUAAGUCCAAGCAAAAACAUCCAUAAUUUCUUGGAGCAAAUCCUCUAACCACUGUCAGUCAACAACCGAGAGUAAAGUACCAAUCUUGACUUCUUUCUUAUUUUCGGGAUCACCCAAAUUGAUCAAUUCGACCACUUAUUGAUGAGGUUCAAUGGAUUUAUCCUUCUAUUCAAUUAGCCUCAUUAAAUCUAGAGACAAAGUAUAUUUUUCAAACUCUUUUUUAGUAUCAAGUUCAUCGAUAUUAAUUGAAUUUUUAAAGUUAAACCCCAAAUCAUUGUCAUGAUUAUCUUCGCAUUCAUUUGGGGACCUGAAAGUUAAUAAAAUAGAAAAUAUUGGUGAGAGAUUUUAAUGGUAGAAUGAAUGGAAUGGAAGAAAUGAACAAAAUGCAUGCUCCUACUUUUAUUGAAAUAAUAAAAAAUAAAAGGCCCAAACAUGAGAUUUCAUCUUAAUACUUUUGGGCAUAAGCGAUUAGGAUAUGUGAUUACAUUAAAGGAAAAUAAAAAACAAUAGGCAUUUGGAUGACCCUCCAAUUCUACAAUUCAUAUCCUGACAAGCAAGGGUAAACCAUAGCUUCCUCAUUCUGGCUUCCAUCAUCCACCAUAUGAAUGGACAAAUUGGCAAAAGCUUCCUCCCACUUUGGUUCUUCUAUUGCAUCCUUUUCAACUUUUGGAAAUAUGUGUCCUCCAGAAGUGAAAAUCUAAUUUAAGUGGGGAAAAACUAUCAAUUUGUUCCUUGUCCUACUACUAAGGCUUGGUACUCCCUACAUCUCAUAACCUAAUCCUAUUUUACCGCUAUUAUCCUCAAGCUUUAGGAAUUCUCUCAUCCCUUGAAGGUUCUUGCCCAGAACGAACCCAAUACUCCAACCCUUAUUGACCAUCUAAUUAAUCAUAAUUUGAUUGAAUUUAAGCCCUUUACCCAUUGUAUUAAUAGGUUCAAAGGAUCUGUAUAAGCACUCUAAUGAUUCUUCUACCACUUUUACAUAUAAGGCAUUUAUGGGUCGGGUUACCAGUAAAUCUUCCUCCCUGGCCACAAUCACCAAUUACCUUUUUAUAUUAAACUUGAUUUUUUAGUGCAAUGAAGAAGGAAUGGUGCCUGCUUUGUGGAUCCAUGGUCUUCCUAAUAAGUAGUUGUAUGAUGGAGAGAUAUCCAUAACUUAAAAUUUUAUAUUGAAAACACAUUGACCAAUCUGUAUGGGUAGCUCGACAUCUUUUAAUACUUUUCACCUAGUCCCAUCAAAUGCUCGAAUCACCAUUUGACUAUCCUAGAUAUGAGACAUAUCAAAAGGUAAUUUUGCCAGAGUAGGCAUAGGCAUAACAUUAAUGGCCAACCCAUUAUCAACAAGGACCUUGGCUACUAUGUGGCCCUUGCAUUUGAUAGUGAUAUGUAAUUUCUUGGUAUUUUUUAUGCCUUCUAGUGGGAUCUCAUUAUCACUAAAGGAGAUAUAGUGUGGCACUACCAGAUUGCCUACUAAAUUAUUCACAUACUCCACGAAGACAUUAUGGGUCACAUAAGCCUGAUUCAAUACAUUUAACAAGGCAUUACAAUGUAGUUCAGAGUUCAAGAUAAGUGAUAAUAGAAAAAUUUUAGCUGACAUCUUAUUCAAUUACUUUACCAUAGAGUACUCAUUAUGUUUGAUUAGCUUCAGGAACUCACAAGCCUCUUUUUCAGGCACAAGUUUUGAUGUAUCUUUCUCUGAGAUUUCUGGUUCAGUUUGCUUCUCAUUUCUUUUUUCUAAUUUAUUUAAAGUUUUUGAGUAUAACAUCUCUCACUUCUAGUUAUGCCCCUUACUUUUGUUAUGUGAGUAGUUUCAGCUUUAGCAUAUCUUUUUGUUACCCUUGAAUUGUUACCCCACAUUCAUAAUUCCAAGGUACUACUUAUUGUUUUUAUAAGAAAAUGGGCAUGAAACUUUGAGAGCUAUUGGUUUGGGAACAAACUUAUUCCCAGCUAAUUAUGGUUUCUUCUUACAGCGUAUAAUGAUAGGUUUCGGCACCCACCUGUCUAUUAUAGCCACCUUGAUGUCUUUUAAACCUUUCGACUCUUCAUACAGCUUUAUUUGGUAAGAGUUUAUUAAUUUCUGAACUUCACCAUGAAACUGUUUGUAGGCAUCAACUAAAUGACUUGAUACCCCACCAUGAUAUUUAUAUAUUUGAGUUGGGCUAGAUUUUUUCACAUAAGUGCAUAGAGCCAUUAAUUGUAUCAUCCCAGCUUCAUGUAAGGCUUCAUAUAGCUAGUUGAAUGGCAUAUUAAGCUUUUUUACUCUUUUUUCACAUGUUUUUUAUCCGUGUCCAAAGCAUUAAUCGUAUGACUGGGCAAAAGGUUCCCACUGACAUUAGGUGUAAAACUUUCACUUGCAUCAAAGCUUACCAACCCUUCCUUAAUCAAAUUUUAUACCUUAUAAUUAAAAAAGACAUAAUUUUUAGUAAACUGCCCCACCACUCUGAAAUGAUAGUCGCAAUAAGCAUUAGAGUCAUACCACUUGGGGUAAGAAGGUUCAAGUUAUUUUUCAAGGAUAAAAGCUAUUAAAUGGUUUUUGUAGAGCUCUUGAUAUAGCUCCAUAUAGCUCAUAGGUAUGGGGUUAAAGGUUGGUCUUUCUCUGGUUCGUGGUUCUCUGGUAUUACCUGUGGCACUUAGUGGGUAAGUAGGGGACCUUGGAGAAUAUGGAUAAGAUGAUCGAGUAGUUGAUUGGUAUGGGGAUGUAGAAGUAUAACUUAUUGUGUGGUGGUAUGUAAGGUAAACAGGCUGAGUAUAGCUUAUAAAUUGCUACCCUUCUAGACUUAUAGCUUGAGUCCCACUCUCUUUUUUCUUAGGUGCUCUUUUAGAAGACUUACCUCUUUUAAGCUACCUUUUUAUGGUAUUUUCGAUGUUUUCUGCCAAAAUCAUAAUGUUUGCAAAGUUCUUAGUCGCAUUUCCAAUCAUCCUUUCAUAAUAAGGUGACUUUAAAGUACUCACAAAUAGCAUAAUGAUCUCUUUCUCUGUUAAAGAGUGUUGUACUUAAGCGGCCACAUCCCGCCACCUUUGAGCAUAUUGCUUGAAGGACUCAAACAUUUUUUUCCAUUGCUUAUAGGGAGAGACAAUCGGGAGCCAUGUCAAUGAUGUGUUGGUACUAAUUAAUAAAGGAUCUGGUCAGAUCUUUCCAUGUCUUGAUAUGAGUUCCAUCUAAUUGGACAUACUAUCUAGCCUUAACUCCAGUCAAACUAUCUUGAAAUGCAUGUAUGAGUAAUUUCAUUACUAGCAUGUACAACCAUUUUAUGACAGUACAUGGUAAUAUGCAUGAUAGGACACUUGGUAUCAUCAUACUUCUCAAAUUUUGGUACUUUAAAUUUUGAUGGCAUCACUGCAUCUAACACUAGGCAAAGUCCCACUGUAUCUAUAGAUCUGUAAAAAUCUAUUCCCUCUAUAGCCUUUAACCUUUCUUCCAGCUUGUUUAUAGCCUAAUCAAUUUUAGAAUUUUCCAAGGGCAUAGCUACCUAUGGCUUUUUUUUUCCUUUAUCUCAUCUAUAAUAGAAAGUUGAAUGGGCUCGACUGCUUUCUCUGCAAAUACAAGAUUAUCAUAGCUUUGGACAUUUUCAUGACCUAAUGCAUAAGUCAUUCCUGGGUAGUUAUACUUUGAAAGGCUGCCUUUUGAGGCUGGAAGAAUGGUGUGGCUUGAUUUUGUGGUAGGCCGUAGCUUGGAGGAUAUGUUGAAUUAGUAGCUUCCUGUGAGGUAUCUUUUUCCAUUAAUUUUCCUCUAUUUAUCUUUUCUAGGGCCUCUAGAAUUUAGCUCAGUUUUUCCUCUAAUGCUUCUUGGGCUUUUUCUAUCUUUUUGAAGUAGCUGGCAUUAUCUUGUUCCAUCUUCCUUGCUUGAACCCGAGUAUUGUAUUGAUGAGUAGCUAUUCUCGUACCUUAAUACCAUAAUUAAAAAUUCAAUGAUAAUGCUAUGGUAAUGAAUGCAUGAAUGAAUGUGAUGCAAAAGCAAGAAAACAAAAAAAAAAUAUUUACCCCUUGAAAAAGAUCUAACAAAAUAAACUUUCAUUUAUUCCACAGAGGUCUAUUUUACAUCAAACCUAAUAUUGUUCCUCUAUAUAAAUGCCUAACUUGCUCAUACUGGUCUUUGGCCUCCAAAAUUAAGUUCAAUAGUUUCUAUCCAUGCUCUCUUGCUGGUGUGAUCAAAGCUCUCAGAGUCCCAGCCCUUUUUGCCAUCUCACCUGCUUAGAUCAUGGCCUUGCCUAUCUGAGCAGUAAGGUGUUCUAUGUAUUUUGUCUUCCCAACCCCUCUCUUUUGCCACAUUACACCUUAUAAGAUAAUUUUUUGUGUUGUUCUGUAAGGAUUCUGACAUGAUUUUUUUGUUCCCUCAAUUUUAAUGUCAGAGUUAGGAUGUGAUUUGAGAGCCAUUGAUUUUCUUGCUCAACCUCUAUGAAAGCAUUUUCUAUAUGGUCGAGCUCCUCUUUUAACUCUUCAUUUUUGUGAGCCAAUUCAGUAUUAUUUAUUUUUUUGGCUUGUACCUGUAUACGCAACCUCUUAUGCUCCUAUUGUAACUCAUUCAGCUCCUUUAGGGCGUCAUUCUAUUCCCUAACAAUUUUUUGGGCCUUAUUGUACUUUUUGGAAAUUCUAUGGGCUUGAACUUUGAGUUUCUCUGUUUUAUUUUGCCAUUGGUCCUUUUUUUCCCACAGCUUCAAGACCUCUUGUCUCAAUUUCUCCUUAUCCAUUUCAUGUUCUAAUUUCGAAAGCUAUUUAUCAGACUCUUGACCCACUAGUAAGUGGUAAUCCUGAGGCAUAAAUACAAUCUCUUGACCUAUCCUCUUUCGCCAAGUCAGAUAUCCCUGAGUGAUCCUAUCAGUGAAUGGCCCUAAGCUUACUCUCUUAGGCUUCUUCUAGGCUUUGAUUAUGCUGUUAAUCUUUUAGAAGGUUUCGAGCUCCCUAUAUGAGUAGUCAAACUGGCCGAGCUUGUGGGUUAUGGGAAUAAACUAUUCAGCUUCGUGCUGCCUCCUUACCAUUAAUGGGGCAUAACUUGUUAACCCCCAUAGGCCUAGAAGUGGGACCCCUAUCUCAUCUCCACAUUGGUAAAACAUAGGUUCUCUGCCCAUCCAUAGAGUUAACCAUUUUACUUGACUAGCAGUGAGUCUUUGUAACAGACAUUUCCACUCAUUCUGAGUUCUUGCCUCUGGCCAAGUGCUCUGACAGAAUUUCCUAAUCGAAUUUCGAGUGUAGAGAUAAAGUUUGGUAAAAGAACUUUUCUUGCAUUCAAAAUGGCUUUUCAUCCAUACAUAUGAUAAGGGUAUGCAACCCAUGAAACGUGUUUUGUCUAUCUGCCUAUAAAAACUUAGAAAUCUGAUAGUUUCUACUAAAAUAACUGGUGAAGGGUUACAACCUCUUUUGAUUUGCUUAAACAGAUCCAUCAUUUCUAUCUCAACGUGUCCUAAGACCUUAGGGAAGAUGACCAACUUAUAUAUGGCUAGAGCAAAUGCAUUCAUUCCCUGGUCAUCAUCUGGAUGCUUGAUAAUGAAAGCUUGGAAGACCCCGUAUGGAAUACUUUUAUGAUCACUUUUUUUUCGAAUGUAUGAAUCUAUAGUCUCCUUUCCCACUCCUAGCAUUUGGCUCAGUUUCCUAUGACUCCUUGACUUGUAUUUCUUCAUGUAUGUUCAAUCUGGAUAUAAUAGAUGUAUACCCAUAAUAGUUGAGUACUCUUCAAUUAUUGGUACCAAAUCAAUCUCAUUAAAGAUAAAACACCGGUAGGAGGGAUCCUAAAAUUGUAUCAUCACCUUGAUUAGUGAGUAGUCAACCUCCACUAACAAGAGAUAUGCUAUAUGUUCAAACUUCUCACAGAAGGUUUCCUGCCUCGAAAGGGUCAUACCACUCCAUAUGUCUGAUAGGCUUUUCAAGGUGUUGUGUUUAAGAAGUAAGUGGACUUCUCUUGAUAGUGUAGAGAUGUGACCAAGUGGUAAACAAUCCUCUUCUUCUAACUGUCUCCUUUUUGAUUCAAUCUUCACCUCUAUGGGAGAAUCACAUUUGAACAACAUAAAGGAGGUACAAACCUAAUGUUCUAUGGAAUCCAUAAGGAUUUUUGCUGAAAUAGUUUUGGGGCAAGAAUAUUAUGCAAUCUGCAAACAUGUUCAUGAAUGUGUGGAAAAAGAAAUAAGAAGAAACAAAGAAAUUAGUUAGUCAUUUCAAUGAAAUAUAGGGAAAAUAUAGUAGUUAAGAUAACAGCAUGACCUAGAAUUUUAGAUUUUCUACAAAGAGUGGGAAAUAAGGCUCUAUCUACGGUUGGGCUUCUAAAGUCAAUUAUAUGUGGUUUAGGCCACUUCUAAAAGGUUCCCAAAUUGUUCCUUACAUCAAGGUCUAUUACAAACUAGUAAGGCACCCUAAUCCUCACCCAUCACAGGCUUUAAUUGGAGAGGGUUCAAUCUGAGUGGGAGUGUUUCGCAGGCCAAUGCGGAGACAUGAAAUCUCACAAGGGCAUACGUACUUCACUCCCUUCUAAAGAUAGAGCUCGGGUGGAGGGCUUAUAUUAUGUACAUACAAGUGACUGAUAGAUACAAUAAGCAUAUAUUUAGGCCAACAUAGAUACUGAAUAAUAAGUCAGACAAAUAAAUAAUAAUAAAGUAGAUAUAAGCAAUGAAAAUAAGUAAUUUCAAAUUUGUUAGACAAGGCCUGGAUAAUAAGAAAUCUUUUACCGGUAUGACUCUUAUUACAGUCCCCAGCAAAAUUGCCAAAGUGUCAUAAUGUAUAGAUCCAUGAACCUACCGCUGACUUAAAAUGGAAAGGAGUCACCACCAAUCUUUUUUGUUAGGUAUGAUUGGCCACCUGAUUAAAGUUGAUCAACAAAAAAGAGGUUAGGUUCAGAAGUCGAUUGCACAUGGAAAAGGUUAUAGCAUCCCCAAAACGCCCAUCCAAGGGAUGGCACCAAUUUGAUUUCGAAUUAUCCAAGCCUUGCUUGUGAUUUUUUAUUUACCAGAUAGUAAAUUUUAUAUUUUCCCCUUUUUUUAGAAUAUUUUUUAGAAAAGACAAAAUAAUUUUUUCUUUCUUUUCUUUUUUUUUCUUUUUUGUGAAAAAGAUAGAAUAAUUUCUUUCCUUUUUUUCUAAAAAUAAAAAAAAAAAUAAAAUAUGGGUAAAAAUAAAUAACUUAGCAUAAAAAUCAAAAAAUAAAAAAAUAGAAAAAGUAAAACCUGCGGUCGGAUCAGGUCGGGAUGCGGGUCAGCGCGCGGAUCAUCGAGUCGAAGUGUAAAUCCUGGAUUGACAAAAUGGCGUCAUUUUGAAGCAGUAUAAAAGCACCUUUUAGCAUUUUUUCUCAGAACCCUAGAGCCUUUCUCUCUCUACCCUAAAAAUCCUCUAACCUCUUUCUAAAAUAUCCAUCGAAAAGUUUAACAGAAAACUAAAAAUAUCACUGGUUUCCAAAAACUUCAUCGAAAAAUUCAAUCGAAAACUAGAAAACCCAUUGGUUUCUGGAAAACCCAUCGGAUUCUUGAAACUUCAUCAAAAUCUCAUCGGAAACUUCAACUUUCAUCGAAAAUUUAACCCAAAAAUUCAAUGUUCUUCAGAAACUCUGAAAAACCCUGAAAAAUCUAAACAAAAACCCAAAAAAUCCAAAAAAUUCCCAGAUGAUUCUAAGCCCUUCCUAAACCUCUUACAACCUCAAAUCCUCCUUCAGAAACCCAAAAUCAUGCCCAAAACUACAAAUCGAACAUGAAAUCCCUAUCCUCGAAUCCUAGGAACCCUUACUACCAAAAUUUUCCUAAAGCUUCCCUAACAAUUUCCCUUGUGUUUUUUCUUGUUUUUGUGUGCCCCUCUGUGUCAGAAUUAGUCCAAUUUAUAGGCAGCCUAUGAUCAAUUUAGGAAAAGAACAGAAUCAAUCCCAGGCUUGAUUCUUGAGAUUACAUUCUGUCCAGAUGAGAUUUUAGGUCCAAAAUUUCUGCACCUCCCUGUUGAUACGAUUUGGGCAUUAAAAUUUGACUAUCAAGAUUUUGACUCUGAUUUUAUCACGUGGGAAUCAAAACAAAAAUGAAAAGAAGAAGAGAAAAGAAAAAGAAAAAAAUGAAAAUAUAUAAUAAUAAUAAUAAUAAAUAUAAUAUGGUAUAAUAUAAUAUAAUAGAAAAAAAAGAAAAUCAAAAAAGAAAAUAUUGAUAAUAAAUAAUAAUAAUAUAAUAAAAAAAAAAUCUAAUUAGACCUCAACGAGCCAGAAUGGGCCUGAACGAGAAUGGGCCUAAUUGUGCUUGGCUCUCAAUCGAGCUCGGACCAAUAUGGGUCCCAUUAAGCUUGGAUGAGAAUGGGCCCGGAUCAAAAUGAGUUUUUAACUGGGCUUGGGCUAGAAUAGGCUCAAUUGAGCCCGAACUAAAAUGAAUGUCUACAAUAACUGAUUUUUUAUACUUUUUCAAUAAAUCAAAUUUUAAUUUUAAUUCAUAAAUGUUACUUAUUGACGAAUAAUCAUUAAUAAAAUUAUCAUGCAUAUUGCCAAAAUCAUACUAAGUUUCUGAAAAGCAAUAAAAUUCUUUCUUUCUUUACACUUUCCACUCUUUUGGGAUCUCAUCUAUUUAUGCAAAUUAUACCGAGAUACAAAAGUUCUCUUUCUUUUUAUCAAUUAAGUAAUGGAAUUUAUAAAAUGAAUAACUUUUGAGUAUGGGUAUAUUAUUGACACCUCUAAAUAGCAAUGCUCUCCUUAUUAAUAUGGUAGAUUGGAUGCAUCAAGUUCCAAACCAAGUAGAUCAGGAAAGGUUCAAUGUUUUUCUAACAAUUGCUUAGGCUAUUUGAUACUCCAUAAUCAAAUUUUAGGGAGAGGAAUGAAAAAUAUGGAAAUUCUUACACUCAAAGGAAUAAUAUAUUCCAAACAUAGGCUUACUAUUUUCUGUAGGUUUUUUUUUUUUUCUUCAAUCUUUUUUGGAUAUCCCAUUGUUUAUGAGACAGCAAUAUUUUUCUUAUUGGUGUGUAGAGGCCAUGGUUUCGGGGUCAAACCCCCCUCCCGCCUAAAACUUUGUCUUUUUGUUUUAUUAAUUAAAAAAAUGAAACCGUGUCAAAAGGUUACUUUGUAUUUUAAUAGUAUAUAAAUAACCAAGUCUGCCUUCCUUACCCUCAUUUUUAUCUUUUUCUUCUUCUACAACUACUUGUUCCAUUCUUUCUCCUGUCAUAAGCUACAACAACAAUAAAAACAACCAUUAAUCUUUGUUUCCAGGUGGGAAAUGGAGUUUGAGCAACCCAUGUUUAGAGAAACAACGGAAGCCCUGAAAUUGAGGGCAGCAAAUGACAGUAAGACUUCAACCAGGGACAGGCAUAAGUCACCAGGAUCAACAUGCCGUUCCUAUGUUUCCAGCAAACUCUUCCAUGGCUCUGAAUCAUUCAGGACUCUAGAGAUGGCUGUGCCAAAGGUUGACUCCACCGAGAAAAAGCUGUCUUGGCUACGAUCUCAAAUCAUUGGCGGUGAUGCAGAAUUUGACUCUCCUUUUGGAACUAGAAAACUUACUUAUGCUGAUCAUACUGCAUCGGGUCGCUCUUUUCACUAUAUCGAAAACUUCAUCGUCACCAAUGUUCUGCCAUUCUACGGUAAAGGUUUUUUUUUCUUCUGAUCUUCAAUUGUGAUACUCUGAUUUAAUCAACAAAAGUGAUGGUGUCAUUUUCGAGUAUAAGAUAUAUAUAUAUAUAUAUAUAUUGGGGUUUUAGUAUUUGUCAGCUGAUCUUGGUUGGUUCGUGCGUAGGUAACACUCACACGUCUGACAGUUACGUGGGGCACAGGACGACGAAAAUGGUGCAUGAAGCGUCAAACUACAUUAAAAGAUGCCUAGGCGGCGGUCAAGAUGAUGCAAUUCUGUUUUGUGGCUCUGGCACUACGGCUGCUAUUAAAAGGCUACAAGAAGUUAUGGGGAUUACGGUACCAUCAAUUUUGAGGGACAUGGUAAUAAAUUGCUUAAUGAGUAUCGAUGGAUAGUUUUUAUUGGCCCUUACGAGUACCACUCCAACUUGCUUUCUUGGCAUCAAAGCCUUGCUGAAGUUGUUGAGAUUGGUUUAGAUGAGAAUGGGUUCGUAGACAUUAAAGCACUAAGAAAACAGCUUGAGCUGUAUAAAUACGCCAAUAGGCCUUUGCUUGGCUCAUUUUCAGCUUGUAGUAAUGUGACUGGGAUUCAAACAGAUACUCGAGAGAUUGCCAAACUUCUUCAUGAGUACGGAGGUUUUGUUUGCUUUGAUUUUGCAGCAAGGUACACAGCAAGAAUUUUCAUUUUUUGUUGUCAAGCUUUUAUAUUAGAGGUUGUCAGAAUUUAAACUUUGAUUGUUAAAAUUAAAAGUUUAAUAUUUUAAUAACAGAUCUCAAUUAAUUAUUAGCCAAGUUUAUGUAUUAUGUUAAUGUUAUAAAGCAAUGAGAAGUUGAUUUUUGACUGUGCGUAUCAUUUUGUUUUUGUGGAUAGUGGUCCUUAUGUGGAGAUUGAUAUGAGGUCAGGGGAGAUUGAUGGAUAUGAUGCCAUUUUCCUAAGCCCUCAUAAGUUUCUAGGUGGCCCUGGAUCGCCCGGCAUCCUUUUAAUUAGCAAGGCUCUCUACCAGCUAGGAUCUUCUCCUCCAUCAACUUGCGGAGGUGGAACUGUUAAUUAUGUCAAUGGUUUCAAUGAACAGGUAAUUACUCUCAAAUUUAAAAUUAAUUGAUAAUAAAUGAAGAGAUUUUUAUUAUAUUUAUGUGUUCAGAUUAAUUCAAUUUAAUAGAUGAAAAAUUUUAUUUUUGUUCACCUCUCUACUAUAAAAUGGAAAAUUUGUAUUUUCUUGACCUUUUUCUUAUUCUUGCUUACAUGUACCAUUUUGUAAGAAAUUUUGGUUUCUUUCUUCAACUGGACGACAUAAAGAAUGAUUAGGUAGCUGUCAGGCUUUUUGGAGUUUAGAAAUAAAUUCCUGAUUCAGAUGGAGCUGGUUUAGAUAUAGACUAGUGAAUGAUAAGUGUCUCUAAAAAAUUUUUUAUUUUAAUUACAAUUUUAGAAGAAAAGAGAUUUCCAACCAAAUUUCUGAAUGCAAGACUGUGUCAAUAGAAAAAUACUCUAAAGAAUGAUAAGUUAUCCUGAUAUUAAUCAGAUUCAUUCCCCAGCAUUUAGGGAAGCAGGUAUGCAAUUUAAUGUGGUAAAAUGGGGUAUUUAUUUUGCAGGACACAAUAUAUGUAAGUGACGUAGAAGAAAGGGAAAAUGGAGGGACUCCUCAAAUUAUUCAGAUUAUUAAAGCAGCGUUGACUUUAUGGGUAAAAGAAUAUAUUGGUUAUGAAGUGAUUGCAAAGCAGGAAAAGUCGUACAUAAAUCAAGCAUUGGAGAGGCUUCUCCCAAACCAAAACAUACGGGUUUUAGGAAAUGCAAGCACCAAGACCCAGAGACAAGCCAUACUGUCUUUCCUCAUCUACUCCACAACCAACGAUGGUAACAAUGUUGACGAGGCAGAGGAAAAGGGGAGGGGACUUUUCAUGUGGGGAGAGACUGGGAACAAGAGGGAUAAACCUCUCCAUGGCCCUUUUGUUGCAACCAUCCUAAAUGAUCUGUUUGGCAUCCAAGCUCGAGGUGGGUGUGCUUGUGCUGGACCUUAUGGCCACAGUUUGCUUGAUAUUGAUCAGACUCGAUCCCUUGCGUUCAGAGAAGCUAUUAAAAGGGUAUCAGUACAAGAUUUUCAAAUUUUUUUUUUCACCAAAUGAAAGAGAAGUAAAAUAUAAUUCAACUUAUCUAAUGCCAGUUGCAAAGUUUGAUUGCAGGGCUACAUAGGAGCAAAACCUGGAUGGACAAGAGUCAGCUUUCCUUACUAAAUGUCAAAUGAGGAGUUUGAAUACAUUCGUGCGGCAUUGGAGUUCGUAGCCAUCUAUGGCCAACGAUUUCUUCCUCUAUACCAUUUCAAC
This 37445-nucleotide long non-coding RNA is filed under the name Durio zibethinus. Its description in RNAcentral is "long non-coding RNA (DZIB_LNC001103)". The record is from RNAcentral. Lineage: Eukaryota; Viridiplantae; Streptophyta; Magnoliopsida; Malvales; Malvaceae.